AUCACAGCACUCCCAGGAAACAAGUCGUUAAAUAAUGAUAAUAAAUCUUUGGGCUUAUACCAGUCAUCCUUGAUAGGCCUACUUAAAACUACUUUCUUCAAGAGAAUCUAGCAUUGUAAGCUUGUAAACAAAUUAAACAAAAAAACUUGAUCGAAUAUAGUAAAGGUUACCUAGUUUAUUUAGAAGAAUAUACAUAGUAUAUCAUGCAUCUAGAUACAAAACACCAACAAUAAAAAUCCGUCAGACUAUGUGUGACAUUGGUUUAUGAGUCCAAUAAGAAACAGAAUAGUUUAUCAUUUUAGGCUUAAGUCUAUACAUAGAAAACAAAAAAGUCUUCAGGUUUUGCAACUAAAGUAUUUGUAGGGAUAGAACUCUUCUCAGCCUGAAGGUGGCGCCCGAGUUGAAACGGUCGUUAGGGGAAAUGAUUAGGGAGGAAAACAGAACUCCCCUUGGGGUAACUUAGAACCGAGUCCAUCGCACUGGCGGGGAUGGAAGAGAGCCCCAACAACCUUGUUACUGUCCAAACACCGCACCAGAAGGGGCCGUUUUAUAGCGGACACCAGCACUGGCUGAUGUGGUACAAAGAACGAUUAUGGGGGAGUUUACCGGUGUGCUCGACCUUCGGACUCGCCUCUCGUCCAACAAACUUGGGACACAAACCAUCGGUAAUAGGGAUGAAACUAUUUUACAUAGGCUUGGAUCCUUCCCAAACAGAACAAUGGUUCAGACAGGCUGAUGGAAGGAAACUUCUAUUAACCUAGAGUUCAAAGAAUCUUGUACUUUGGACAAUCACAAAGGUCUAUAUGUCACAACCAUCAAUCACAAAUAACUUCGUUUGUCAUUUAGUGUGGUUUAACUAACAUCCUAUAUGAUCUUAAUUAUAGAAAACAUUGUUUUCUGUUUCAUUGUUGGAAUAGAACUAUCGCAGAAGCAAGCUAACCAGGGUAAUUGUAGUUGUUUUCAUCGAAGUAUUUUUUUGUUUGUUAUCAUAUUAAGUUGAUUUACUAGACAGACGUUUAGUUACUUUUAUCAAUUAUUGCAAACCCAAAUAAAACAUUAGAAGCUAUGUUACUAUCAAGUGGCGAAGAUCACUGACCUCUGUAACGCUCAGAAAAGAAAAGGCAUGUUAAGGCGAGUAGAAAUGCUUAAAAAGUAUUUUUGACGGCUUUAUAAACCAGAAGAGUUGCUAAGGUCUUACAAGAAAGACGCUAAGAAUAGAGACGGAUCGUAGGGUAACUCUAUAGAGACAAUAGAAUAGACAGAAGAAGGUAGCUUCCCUUGAUAAACAUAGUGAAUUUCCAUUGAAUUAAUGUUUUAUUCAGUUUUAGGUAUCCUGAGUCGCCGAGCAGCAGGGUGUGUAGAUUUAAGUUUCGUUACCUCACAAAAACCAAUACCCAUUUUAUAAGGUUUAUAUCUGGUAUAGAAACUUUUGUCCCUUUUUACACUUGUACACUAUUUAGAUCGAGAUCUAGUGGGUAAUUAAUUCCCUUUAAGAUGUUUAUUCUUCACAAAACUAGUUGCUUGUAUUUGAAUGUUAACAAACAUGUAUGCAUUUCAUCGACACAGUGACUAUAUCUGUACUGCAUACCUUGCAAAAGAGUAACAUCUUAAUCAAAUCACUAAUUAUAAUGAUCCCCUAGUAAAGAUUUCGAUACAUUAAAUCAGUAAUUAUGUAUUUAAAAAAAAUAGCUACAACAAUCAAAUGUCCUAUGACUUCCUACGUCGUCCUGCGGGGAGGUUGGACUAGGAAGUAGGCCUAGAUUAUCUUCAACUCUGAAGGAACAUC
Molecule: non-coding RNA, 1786 nt
Organism: Biomphalaria pfeifferi
Lineage: Eukaryota; Metazoa; Mollusca; Gastropoda; Planorbidae
Source: the annotation of a GenBank genome assembly